This 825-nucleotide ribosomal RNA is filed under the name uncultured bacterium. Its description in RNAcentral is "bacterial SSU rRNA". It matches the Rfam family "Bacterial small subunit ribosomal RNA", at positions 28 to 882 of the family's 1533-position model. The record is from RNAcentral.
AACGAACGCUGGCGGCAUGCCUAACACAUGCAAGUCGAACGAGACCGCUAACUUCGGUUGGCGCGUCUAGUGGCGCACGGGUGCGUAACACGUGGGAAUCUGCCCUUGGGUUCGGGAUAACAGUUGGAAACGACUGCUAAUACCGGAUGAUGACUUCGGUCCAAAGAUUUAUCGCCCAGGGAUGAGCCCGCGUAGGAUUAGCUUGUUGGUGAGGUAAGAGCUCACCAAGGCGACGAUCCUUAGCUGGUCUGAGAGGAUGAUCAGCCACACUGGGACUGAGACACGGCCCAGACUCCUACGGGAGGCAGCAGUGGGGAAUAUUAGACAAUGGGGGAAACCCUGAUCCAGCAAUGCCGCGUGAGUGAUGAAGGCCUUAGGGUUGUAAAGCUCUUUUACCCGGGAUGAUAAUGACAGUACCGGGAGAAUAAGCCCCCGGCUAACUCCGUGCCAGCAGCCGCGGUAAUACGGGGGGGGCAAGCGUUGUUCGGAAUUACUGGGCGUAAAGGGCUCGUAGGCGGCCAACUAAGUCAGAUGUGAAAUCCCCAGGCUCAACCUGGGAACUGCAUCUGAUACUGGUUGGCUUGAAUUCGGGAGAGGGAUGCAGAAUUCCAGGUGUAGCGGUGAAAUGCGUAGAUAUCUGGAGGAACACCGGUGGCGAAGGCGGCUUGCUGGACCCUGGUCUGACGCUGAGGUGCGAAAGCGUGGGGAGCGAACAGGAUUAGAUACCCUGGUAGUCCACGCCGUAAACGAUGGGCACUAGAUGCCGGUGGGAUCGACCCCUUCGGUGUCGUAGCCUAACGCGUUAAAGUGCCCGCCUGGGGAGUA